RNAcentral lists this unclassified non-coding RNA (218 nucleotides) under Hevea brasiliensis (rubber tree). Lineage: Eukaryota; Viridiplantae; Streptophyta; Magnoliopsida; Malpighiales; Euphorbiaceae. The record is from RNAcentral.
GUUCACGCGAGGAGUUCUUGCACCUCCUUCUCCUCCUCCAUUGUACCUGUCGCACUGAGCAGUCGUCGUCGCCGUCGUGUUCGUCGCCGUCGCCGACGGUAAUCUCCACCCAGUGUGUGGUUGUAUCGUGUCAUGGUCGUUGUCGUCGGGCGUCUCGUCGCCGUAGUCUCGCCGGAGUUUCUGGCGCCACCUUUUUAUUUCGCAAGCGUCAGUGUCCA